Molecule: ribosomal RNA, 253 nt
Filed under: uncultured bacterium
Lineage: Bacteria
Description: partial 16S ribosomal RNA
Rfam family: Bacterial small subunit ribosomal RNA
Source: RNAcentral
UACGGAGGGUGCGAGCGUUGUCCGGAUUCAUUGGGCGUAAAGAGCGUGUAGGCGGCCAGUUAGGUCGGUUGUGAAAACUGGAGGCUCAACCUUCAGAGGUCGACCGAAACCAUCUGGCUAGAGUCCGGGAGAGGAGAGUGGAAUUCCUGGUGUAGCGGUGAAAUGCGCAGAUAUCAGGAAGAACACCCGUGGCGAAAGCGGCUCUCUGGAACGGUACUGACGCUGAGACGCGAAAGCGUGGGGAGCGAACAGG